RNAcentral lists this ribosomal RNA (468 nucleotides) under uncultured bacterium. RNAcentral's name for it is "partial 16S ribosomal RNA". It matches the Rfam family "Bacterial small subunit ribosomal RNA", at positions 28 to 507 of the family's 1533-position model. The record is from RNAcentral.
GACGAACGCUGGCGGCGUGCUUAACACAUGCAAGUCGAACGGAAAGGCCCUGCUUUUGUGGGGUGCUCGAGUGGCGAACGGGUGAGUAACACGUGAGUAACCUGCCCUUGACUUUGGGAUAACUUCAGGAAACUUGGGCUAAUACCGGAUAGGAGCUCCUGCUUCAUGGUGGGGGUUGGAAAGUUUCGGCGGUUGGGGAUGGACUCGCGGCUUAUCAGCUUGUUGGUUGGGUAGUGGCUUACCAAGGCUUUGACGGGUAGCCGGCCUGAGAGGGUGACCGGCCACAGUGGGACUGAGAUACGGACCAGACUCCUACGGGAGGCAGCAGUGGGGAAGAUUGCAAAAUGGGCGGAAGCCUGAUGCAGCAACGCAGCGUGCGGGAUGACGGCCUUCGGGUUGUAAACCGCUUUCGCCUGUGACGAAGCGUGAGUGACGGUAAUGGGUAAAGAAGCACCGGAUAACUACGUG